UACCAACCCGAUGCAAACUGCGAAUACCGGAGAAUGUUAUCACGGGAGACACACGGCGGGUGCUAACGUCCGUCGUGAAGAGGGAAACAACCCAGACCGCCAGCUAAGGUCCCAAAGUCAUGGUUAAGUGGGAAACGAUGUGGGAAGGCCCAGACAGCCAGGAUGUUGGCUUAGAAGCAGCCAUCAUUUAAAGAAAGCGUAAUAGCUCACUGGUCGAGUCGGCCUGCGCGGAAGAUGUAACGGGGCUAAACCAUGCACCGAAGCUGCGGCAGCGACGCUGAUGCGUUGUUGGGUAGGGGAGCGUUCUGUAAGCCUGCGAAGGUGUGCUGUGAGGCAUGCUGGAGGUAUCAGAAGUGCGAAUGCUGACAUAAGUAACGAUAAAGCGGGUGAAAAGCCCGCUCGCCGGAAGACCAAGGGUUCCUGUCCAACGUUAAUCGGGGCAGGGUGAGUCGACCCCUAAGGCGAGGCCGAAAGGCGUAGUCGAUGGGAAACAGGUUAAUAUUCCUGUACUUGGUGUUACUGCGAAGGGGGGACGGAGAAGGCUAUGUUGGCCGGGCGACGGUUGUCCCGGUUUAAGCGUGUAGGCUGGUUUUCCAGGCAAAUCCGGAAAAUCAAGGCUGAGGCGUGAUGACGAGGCACUACGGUGCUGAAGCAACAAAUGCCCUGCUUCCAGGAAAAGCCUCUAAGCAUCAGGUAACAUCAAAUCGUACCCCAAACCGACACAGGUGGUCAGGUAGAGAAUACCAAGGCGCUUGAGAGAACUCGGGUGAAGGAACUAGGCAAAAUGGUGCCGUAACUUCGGGAGAAGGCACGCUGAUAUGUAGGUGAAGUCCCUUGCGGAUGGAGCUGAAAUCAGUCGAAGAUACCAGCUGGCUGCAACUGUUUAUUAAAAACACAGCACUGUGCAAACACGAAAGUGGACGUAUACGGUGUGACGCCUGCCCGGUGCCGGAAGGUUAAUUGAUGGGGU
RNAcentral lists this ribosomal RNA (970 nucleotides) under Escherichia coli. Its description in RNAcentral is "partial 23S ribosomal RNA". It matches the Rfam family "Bacterial large subunit ribosomal RNA", at positions 937 to 1890 of the family's 2925-position model. Lineage: Bacteria; Pseudomonadati; Pseudomonadota; Gammaproteobacteria; Enterobacterales; Enterobacteriaceae. The record is from RNAcentral.